AUUGAACGCUGGCGGCAGGCCUAACACAUGCAAGUCGAGCGAGCGGCGGACGGGAGAGUAAUGUCAGGGAAACUGCCUGAUGGAGGGGGAUAACUACUGGAAACGGUAGCUAAUACCGCAUACCAGCAGAAGUGCCCAGCUGGGAUUAGCUAGUAGGGGGGGUAACGGCUCACCUAGGCGACGAUCCCUCGCUGGUCUGAGAGGAUGACCAGCCACACGGGAACUGAGACACGUUCCAGACUCCUACGAGAGGCAGCAGUGGGGAAUAUUGCACAAGGGGCGCAAGCCUGAUGCAGCCAUGCCGCGUGUGUGAAGAAGGCCUUCGGGUUGUAAAGCACUUUCAGCGGGUGUGCGUUACCCGCAGAAGAAGCACCGGCUAACUCCGUGCCAGCAGCCGCGGUAAUUC
RNAcentral lists this ribosomal RNA (406 nucleotides) under uncultured bacterium. Its description in RNAcentral is "partial 16S ribosomal RNA". It matches the Rfam family "Bacterial small subunit ribosomal RNA", at positions 29 to 526 of the family's 1533-position model. The record is from RNAcentral.